RNAcentral lists this ribosomal RNA (93 nucleotides) under Dictyoglomus sp. The record is from RNAcentral. Lineage: Bacteria; Pseudomonadati; Dictyoglomota; Dictyoglomia; Dictyoglomales; Dictyoglomaceae.
ACGCCCGUUCCCAUUCCGAACACGGAAGCUAAGCCCUCCAGCGCCGAUGGUACUACCCUGGCGACGGGGUGGGAGAGUAGGUCAUCGCCAGAG